Molecule: ribosomal RNA, 254 nt
Filed under: uncultured bacterium
Lineage: Bacteria
Description: partial 16S ribosomal RNA
Rfam family: Bacterial small subunit ribosomal RNA
Source: RNAcentral
UACGUAGGGUGCAAGCGUUAAUCGGAAUUACUGGGCGUAAAGCGUGCGCAGGCGGUUGUGCAAGACAGAUGUGAAAUCCCCCGGGCUUAACCUGGGAAUUGCAUUUGUGACUGUACGGCUAGAGUGUGUCAGAGGGGGGUAGAAUUCCACGUGUAGCAGUGAAAUGCGUAGAGAUGUGGAGGAAUACCGAUGGCGAAGGCAGCCCCCUGGGAUAACACUGACGCUCAUGCACGAAAGCGUGGGGAGCAAACAGG